RNAcentral lists this unclassified non-coding RNA (348 nucleotides) under soil metagenome. RNAcentral's name for it is "partial contains 5.8S ribosomal RNA, internal transcribed spacer 2, and large subunit ribosomal RNA". The stretch from base 1 to 120 matches the Rfam family "5.8S ribosomal RNA", at positions 35 to 154 of the family's 154-position model. The record is from RNAcentral.
GAUGAAGAACGCAGCGAAAUGCGAUAAGUAAUGUGAAUUGCAGAAUUCAGUGAAUCAUCGAAUCUUUGAACGCACAUUGCGCCCGCCAGUAUUCUGGCGGGCAUGCCUGUCCGAGCGUCAUUUCAACCCUCGAACCCCUCCGGGGGGUCGGCGUUGGGGAUCGGCCCUUUACCGGCCGGCCCCGAAAUACAGUGGCGGUCUCGCCGCAGCCUCUCCUGCGCAGUAGUUUGCACACUCGCACCGGGAGCGCGGCGCAGUCCAAUGCCGUAAAACACCCAACUUUCUGAAAUGUUGACCUCGGAUCAGGUAGGAAUACCCGCUGAACUUAAGCAUAUCAAAAGCGGAGGA